Molecule: long non-coding RNA, 7889 nt
Organism: Orcinus orca (killer whale)
Lineage: Eukaryota; Metazoa; Chordata; Mammalia; Artiodactyla; Delphinidae
Exons: 2
Source: RefSeq, a predicted model, not a curated record
CCUGCAGGCCCUGGUCUGGUGUCCGCGCGGACGCUGAGGGUUCGGGGUGCGCUGGGCUUGCGCUGGGGCGGGCCGGGGGCGUCCGCACGCUUCCUCCCCAGCACGCGUGGGCCUUUUCACGACUCUCGGGAGUGAGCAGGACCCCCUGGGCACCUUUGGACGUCCUUCGAGACGCGCUGUGACGUGUGUGUUAGCCCAUGUGCUUUUCAAAACAGCCUUGGAAGGAGCUCCAGAAGCCAUUUCAGACCGUGGGGUGACCUUGGGAAGUGCGAGGACAGACAUGAGGGAACUACAGACGUCCGGAGCCUUGGGGGCUGGCGGAGCUGAACUGAGACCCCCCGCCCCCUCCACACACACACACCGGGAAUCCUGAGGGAGCUGAUCCCCGGUGUCGGCGGGAAGCGUAUCUGCCAGGUGCGACGGUGGACUGUGGUGGCCGCGAAUACCCGCCCCUGUCCGCAGAGGGCCACCUUCCUAGGUCGUAUCCUUCUUGAGGUGACUGAGCCGGCCUGGCCAUUGGGCCCAGCGCUGAAGGCCUCUGCGAGCACGACAGGCUGCCUACAGCUUAGCUGGGCCUGCAUGGCCCUGUCCUUCCUAGGCUCAACCCUGUCUCCUUCCCCUUCCUUUCACAGGUGUUGAUGCCAUAUAAACUUGUACCCCAAACUCUCUCUCACCAUCUGCUUCUGGAGAAACCAUCCUGCAACAGUUGGUACCUGGGGUUUAGAUGGCAGGUGAUAAGAUGGGGUGAAUCACUCACCACUUAUGGAUGGAACACUCACAGCCCCUGGCAUGAAGUGAUCUAAUUGUUAACCUUCCACCCGUGUAGAAGAGUGAACCAGAGAAGUGAAAUGAAUACCCUAGAAGCGUUUUACGUAUGAUGGAAAUAUUAGCUAUAAGGAAGGGUACUGGGAUUGGGUAGCUAUUCCUUAACACUACUGAUGCCCUUAAGAGAAAUAAUGGACAGUGGAUGGCUACCAACAGACGAUUGAAAGCCAUGGAGUCUCUUCGGUUGCCUGCAAAAAAAGCCUCAUCUCCUGCAUUGAGACAAUAAAGACAAGGGCCAGGCUCAAGAAUUAAUAUCUCAAAGAUGGUAAACACCCAGCCAAGGCAGUUCUGUGAUGCUAAGUUUGGGGCCCUGGUUGGGAAAAUCUGGGCCCAUGACACAUGUCAAAGAGAUCUCAUAUCUGGAAAAGAAGAUCAGAAACAUUUCACAUUCACGUGGAACAAAGAUGCAGUUUUGCCUGAAGCCUAUGUUACCUCUCUUGCCCUCUCAUAGUCCAAAGACUUCACCAUCCUGAAGAACAUCACAUUGUUUCCAUUACAUCAAUAACAUUAUAAAGAUGCUGGAGACAUCGGUAAGAUACAGGUGCUCCAGAGAGUAGUAGAUAAACCCUAUGAAGAUUCAGGGACCUGCUACACUUAAAAUAUUAAAAUAUUUUUAGGGAUCCAGUGGUCAGUGGUGCCCUAAGGCAUCCCUUCCAAAAGAAAAAGACAAUUGUUGCGUCAUGCACCUUCAACCAUUUUUUAAUAAAGGAAGACACUGUUGGGCCUCUUCAAGUUCUGGAAGCAGCAUAUUCCACACAUAAAUACUGCUCUGGCCCAAAUACUGGUUGACUUGGAAGACUUCCAGGUUUGAGAAGAGCCCAGAAAAGGAAAAGUUUCUGUCUCAGGUCAAGGCUGUGGUACAAGCAGUUCUGCUGCCUGGGCCAUACGGUCUAGCAGGUGGUAUUGGUGGUGGGGAACAAUGCAAUGUGGAGUUUCUGGCACAUCUCAGCAGGAGAUUGACAAAGCAGGAGCCCUAGGUUCUGUGAUGCCACUUGAAGCAGAGAAUUACAUAUGCCUUUUGAGGGAAAAAAACCAUCUUGGUGUGCUUCUGUGCUCUGACAGAGAUGGAACAUCUGACCUUGGGACACCAAGUGACCCCGCAGACAGGACUGCUUUGUGAGGUGGGUUCUGCCAAACUCACCAAGUCAUCAGGUCGGUUUGGCCCAGAAACAGUCCACCACCAGGUGGAAGGAAGGAGCACAUUCAAGACUGAGCAUGAGACUGUUCAGAGGUCACAAGGGAGUGCAAAAUAGGUGGCCCAGACCCACAUGGCAUCCACUGCUGUUGUAUCAGAGCCUCUCUGUUCCUUCGCAUCUAUGACCGUAUGGGGAAGCCUUCAGAGCAAGUUGACAGGUGGAAAAAUCUUGAGCCUGGUUCACAGAUGGGUUGGCUUGGCAUGUGAGUUCAGAAUGAAAGUGUACAGCAGCUACAUUACAGCCUCACUCAGGGCUGGCCCUACAGACAGUGGUUAAGGAUAUACCCUCCCCGUGGGCAGAGCUCCUAGUCAUUCCCUUUUCUGCGUAAGGAGUGGCCCAAAGUGAGAAUAUAUAUGGACACACGGGCAGUGUUGGAUGGCCUGUGUGACUGGCUAAGGGUUUGGAAGGAAAACAAUUGGAAAACUGGGGACAAGGAAAGCAUGUGGGAAGACAUACUGGGAUAGGCGCCAAGCAGGAUGGUCUUGGUGUAAAAUAUUAAUGCCCACCAGAGAGCACCCAUGAAAGUAAUAAACCACCAAGCAGACAGAACGACGAUUCAGCCAGUUGACCCUGGACAGCAUCUCUUACUUGGCAACCCCUGCACUGGCAUGAUGGGUACAAGAACAGAGGAACAAAAGUAAUGAGGUUGGAGGCUACUCGUGGGCCCAAAGCUGAUCUAACCAGUAGCUGACACUGAAGGUCUAACCUGCCAGUGGGAGACCAACGCUGAGCUCUGAAUGUGGCUCCUUCCACUAAGAAGGUCAACCAGCCAAGUUUGCUGUAUCAGAACUCUUCCAUCCUGGAAGGGCCAGGAGUUUGUUUUCACAGAAAUAGAUUCAUAUUCCAUAUAUAGGCUUGACUUCCUGCCCACAAGUUUCAGGCAACAGGGGCUUAUGGAGUGGUAGUUCCUCUGGCACAGGAUCCCAUGUGGCAUCAUAUCAAACAUAGGAUUCACUUUAUGGCAAAGGAAGUGCACAGCAAGGAGUGCAAAGACCACGGGAUCUGCUGCCUGACAGAGCACUGGGACAGUCAGCUAAAGGCACAGCUCAAGUACCAAAUCGGAGGUAAUGUUCUGCAAAGAUGGGGUGGCAUUCAAGACCUAUAUAUGGCACUGUGUUCCCAACAAGAAGGAUACCUGAAUCUGAAACCCAAGGGGUGGAAACAGGAGUGGUCCCACUUAACCAUCACCUGCAGUGAUCCACUGGGGGCUUUGUGCUUCCUGUCCUCCCAAGUUUAGAUUCUGCAGGGUUAGAGGUCCUGGUCCCCAAAAGGGACACUCCCUGGGGAACACACCAAGUGUUCCAUUGGAUUAUAAACUAUGGAUGAUGUCUGGGAACCUUGGGUUCCUGCGUCUAGGAACCAGCAGGUGAAAGGAGGAGUCACUGUCUUGGUGACAGAGAGGGUAGGGCUGCUCCUACACUCACUGCACAACGGGGAAGAAUGUGUAGAACCUGAGUGACCCACAGGGGUGUGGCUCCGUACUCCUUUGCUUAUCUGCGAUUGAGAAACUAGAGAAUCCAACUUGCACACGCAGUGGAAGAGUCUGCCUCUUGAUUUUCAGACCCCUGCAGUCUGGCUGUAAGGGAAGUACAUGAUACACGUGCUCCUAGUUUUAGGCAUAAACCAGUUUGCAACACUGCGUCCAACUUGAAAGACUGAUUUCCAAGCUGGCGCUGAUAGAGAGCCUUCAACCAGCCAUUCCACUCUUCAGCCCAGACAGCCGCUUCCAGCUGAUGGGACACGAUAUUGGUUCGUAAACUUGCCCCUGUACACGAGGGCAAGGAGAGACCAAAGAGACACAGACACUCCAGAUCAGCAGCUUUAAUAAGCAGGGAACUUACGAGGUUUGUCCUGGCGGCCAGAAGACGAACAGAUCUCCACACCCGCCCGCCAGAAUCUUAAGAGCUUAUACAGAGGCCUUGACUGGGUUCAGUCAUGCACACCUUCCAGAUGGUGUCCACACCACCUUGCUCUCUCAAGGCUGCAUCCUUGGGGCAGCUGCCAGCGUGGGGAGGGCAAGCGCAAUGCACAACCCAAGGAUGGGGAGCUGGUGGGGAGCCUCUGAUGGCCCAGGGCCAGCUAACAGGUCAACCAGCGGUCAUGUCCUCUCGACGACCUCCUCCAACAUGGUAAGACCAGUGGAUUCUACGUGUGAACUCAUCCUGCACUUUCAUCGCUUUAAAGUAACGCCUGCUGCUAAGAGGCAGUGUCAUGCAGAGCUACAGCAACGAACAAGACGUCUCCAAGGGCACAGAGAGUGCUGUUGGCAGAUGCACUGCAGACAGGGAAGCAAAAAAGUCACACCUGGAGUGUGUCUAUUCCUGGUGGGACCGACCACUGCGUCCUCUGUGAUGGAGGAACCAGCUCGCCACAUCAAGGUCUCAGCCCUGGCCUCUGCGGUUGGCAGUUCAGGCACUGAGAAGUGGGAGAAGCCAGGAAGCCUUGGUGAGAGGAGGUCUUGUUGCUGAACCAGUGCAAGUCUCUUUUCUGCCACCUAAGGAAAGAGGCUGAGUGACACCCAUGAGCAAGUCAUCCUGUCCGCUGGACUGCACUUCGGCAGUGGGUGCCCUGAGGGAGGAAGGUCUUCUUACAUACCCGUCCUGCAGAUGACCUUGACACCACUUUGCAAUCUUUCUGCCAUCAAGUAUUGACCAGCUGGACAGUCAGUUACUCAUGAGAAUGCUUAUGGAUCAGGAACCCAGGUCAGUUCUCUUUCCACAUGGAAUGGAGCACCAAUGUACCAUCCGAAGUUUGCCAGCUGGAAAUCUUCCAAAUCCCAUACGCUGCGUGUGUGUGGCAACUGUCUACUUCUGGCUGAGGCCAGCACACUGUGCAGAUCCAGCUGCAGAACAAACUUGUGCUUCUUCCUGUUCUGCCAACUAGUCACAGGUAACGUCUCACAAGACCACAGACGUGGCUGAGACAGUGAAACAGAAGAUCCAGCACCAUGAGUCUGACUACCGACCAUGUCAUUUACGUACGUCUUCUGAUCUUCUCACGCCCAGCUCUGUGUGUACCUGUGAUGGACAAACUCCUACGCUGAAAUCCUGCCCACAAUGGGAUGGCAUUGGGAGGUAGAAGCUCUGGGAAGCAGAUGAAGCUGUGAGGGUGGAGCCCUCCCUUACGGAUGGGAUUAUUGCCCUUAAAAGAGCCACGAGUGCUUGCUCCCCCUCUCUGCUCUCCACCACAUAAAGAUACAAGGAAUAAUCAGCCAUCUGCAACCCAGGAGAGGCCCUCACGAGAACCCCACCCUGCUGGCCCCCGCAUCUUGAACUUCCAGCCUCCAGAACUGUGAGACACACAUUUCUGUUGGUUAUAAGCCACCCAGUUUAUGGCAUUUCGUUAUAGCAGCCCAAGCUAAGACAAUACUGUUUCUGGUUUUCAAUGGAAUGCUGCUGUUUACAUCCAGUUUCAUUAUUUGUUGUACUUCUCUGGCUACUUUGGGAUAAACUCUUGAUAUGGGUCCAGAAGUGAUGGCACCUGUCCCAGGUACAAUCAUAAAAGGUUUUAUAUUUAGGCUCCCUUAUCAUUUUUUUUCUCAAUACCAAUUAGAUGAUCAAUUCGAUUUCAACUGGCAGGGACAACUUCCCUACCUUACCUGAGGGUCUUUGUUUAGACAUCGUAAUAUCACUUUGAUGCAUUAAAGACAUCAUGGUAAUUGGUCCUAAUGAGCAGGAAGAAGUACCCUAGUUGCCUUGGAUGGUGAGAGGUAAAUUCCAUGAAAAAUCAGUGGUCUGUGGACUAUCAUGGUCUCCCUUCCAAAGUGAAUGACAAGCAGCUACGCCUCGCACUGCUCACAACUAAGAAAGGCCCAGGCCUCGCGUGUGUGGACUUUUGAUAUGACCACAUCUGGGUGUGCUGCUCCCGUCUUCUGACUGAGGAAGCCGUAGGCUGUUGGUUUCGCGAGACCUGGAUAAGGACCCGCAGCUCUGAUACUCAGGACAAGUUUGUAGCCAGCCAGGCAGAAGUGUGGACAGCCUGGGGACUCCACCGAUGGCCGCUGUCUAACGUGGCUGUAUUCUGGGACUGAGUUCUUUUUUUUUUUUUUAAUUUAUUUAUUUAUGUAUUUAUUUUUGGCUGGGUUGGGUCUUUGUUGCUGCGCGCAGGCUUUCUCUAGUUGCGGCAAAUGGGGUCUACCCUUCGUUGCGGUGUGCGGGCUUCUCAUUGCGGUGGCUUCUCUUGUUGGGGAGCACGGGCUCUAGGCAUGUGGGCUUCAGUAGUUGUGGCUCGUGGGCUCAGUAGUUGUGGCUCAUGGGCUUAGUUGCUCCGCAGCAUGUGGGAUCUUCCCGGACCAGGGCUUGAACCCAUGUCCCCUGCAUUGGCAGGCGGAUUCUUAACCACUGUGCCACCAGGGAAGCCCCUGGGACUGAGUCCUUAACGUAGUUUCUGUGCUGACCCCAGGUAGUGUCAGAAUUGAACUGUAGGACACUCGGGUGGUGAUGGAGAGGAGGUGGUGAAUGAUAAGACUCAAGCGGGUCAGGAAGGCAAAAGUAAACCCCGUGAACAGAUGGCCAGGGUUCCCAGAAAAUUUCUCCCUCUGAGUUGUCCUUGUGCUCUGUCUACUCCUGUUCUGCAUAUGGACUUGCUGUCCCUGCCCAGAACCCAUCUGGGGACUGCCCAAAUUACUUACUCACCAUCGCUGCUUCCGACCAGAAAACUCCUCUCAUAGCAAAAGUGCGGCACUAGCCUUACGACCAUGGGAUUCCCUGACGUCAACCCAGAAGCAGUUCAGCUACUGACAGUGGGAAGGCUGCCCUACUGCAGACCCACUUAUGGCCAUUUCUCCCACAGCCAGAAUACAUCAGCCUGGGGCCAUCAGAAGAUGGGAAGAGCCCCUCUUACUGCUACGCCAGAUAAGCCUGGAGGAAUUUUUGCUUUCCAUCCUGACUCUGGGCUCUGCUGUCCCAGGGGUGGGGGGAGGCUGCUGCCACCAGUGACAGUGGUCCCCCUCUGAACCAGCAGGGAUAGGGUUCCUGCAUCGGCUGGUGGGAUUGAUCCCAAUUACUGAGGGGGAGCCUGGAGGCCAGCACAACUCGAGGACAGUAAAGCCUGUAUCUGUACCUGACGUCUUCACUGGGCACCUCCUCGUACUUAGUACUUCCAGGUUCGACUGUAAAAGGAAAGGAAGUCCUCUAAAAACAAGACUGUUAAGGUCUCAUAUCUUUCAGAAAGGACAGUGAGGCCCAGAAAACCAGGCCUACAUGGUAGAAGGAAGACUCUUUGAAACGGGGGCGCAGGCCUGGUUAAUGCUUGCUCUGGACUUCUCCUCACCUCCCCCACUUGACAUGACAUGCUGGGUGUGUUAACUACACCAAUUAGCAAAGGGCAGACCCAGCACCGAGGGAGGAGUCCGGCAUUACCUGGAGAGCCUGCAUCACUGAGAUACGACACCUCAUGGGACUUCUUCGGUAUGAAGAAUGUUUGCCCCACAUCAGGUGGGUGCAUUUUGGUAACUAAGUAUGGGUGGGUGAGAACAAAUUCUUCGUAGCCAAAGGGUCACCUGCCAGUGUGCUUUCAGAUCAAUUCUUGUCUGCUCUGCACAAGGUGCCGACUUCUGCAAGGAACUGUCCCAGGAUCCUUGUCUAGUCUGGCAAACAGGAGGGCAGGAGGAGAAAGAUGGGUGUCUCUCUCCCUUCCACAGUGAUGCUGAUGCAUCUCCCCUGAGGGGUCAGCUCCUGCUGGAGGGGGGCUCUGUCCCUGUGUCCCAGGAACCGUUCUGCUGACCCGCCAGCCCCAGGGAAAGGGCUCCUCCACCAUCAAAAUGAUCAAAUCCUUGUACUGGAUUCCCUUAGCUGGAAAGCCUAGCGUGGUUAUGUUCUCCCACCUGGACUGACACAGUCCUGUAGUUGAUUAAAACGUAUUGGGUCA